RNAcentral lists this ribosomal RNA (733 nucleotides) under Streptomyces sp. YIM 61332. Its description in RNAcentral is "bacterial SSU rRNA". It matches the Rfam family "Bacterial small subunit ribosomal RNA", at positions 72 to 820 of the family's 1533-position model. Lineage: Bacteria; Bacillati; Actinomycetota; Actinomycetes; Kitasatosporales; Streptomycetaceae. The record is from RNAcentral.
AACCGCUUUCGGGCGGGGAUUAGUGGCGAACGGGUGAGUAACACGUGGGCAAUCUGCCCUGCACUCUGGGACAAGCCCUGGAAACGGGGUCUAAUACCGGAUAUGACUGUCCAUCGCAUGGUGGAUGGUGUAAAGCUCCGGCGGUGCAGGAUGAGCCCGCGGCCUAUCAGCUUGUUGGUGAGGUAGUGGCUCACCAAGGCGACGACGGGUAGCCGGCCUGAGAGGGCGACCGGCCACACUGGGACUGAGACACGGCCCAGACUCCUACGGGAGGCAGCAGUGGGGAAUAUUGCACAAUGGGCGAAAGCCUGAUGCAGCGACGCCGCGUGAGGGAUGACGGCCUUCGGGUUGUAAACCUCUUUCAGCAGGGAAGAAGCGAAAGUGACGGUACCUGCAGAAGAAGCGCCGGCUAACUACGUGCCAGCAGCCGCGGUAAUACGUAGGGCGCAAGCGUUGUCCGGAAUUAUUGGGCGUAAAGAGCUCGUAGGCGGCUUGUCACGUCGGUUGUGAAAGCCCGGGGCUUAACCCCGGGUCUGCAGUCGAUACGGGCAGGCUAGAGUUCGGUAGGGGAGAUCGGAAUUCCUGGUGUAGCGGUGAAAUGCGCAGAUAUCAGGAGGAACACCGGUGGCGAAGGCGGAUCUCUGGGCCGAUACUGACGCUGAGGAGCGAAAGCGUGGGGAGCGAACAGGAUUAGAUACCCUGGUAGUCCACGCCGUAAACGGUGGGCACUAGG